This 433-nucleotide ribosomal RNA is filed under the name uncultured bacterium. RNAcentral describes it as "partial 16S ribosomal RNA". It matches the Rfam family "Bacterial small subunit ribosomal RNA", at positions 29 to 507 of the family's 1533-position model. The record is from RNAcentral.
AACGAACGCUGGCGGCAUGCCUAACACAUGCAAGUCGAACGAGACCUUCGGGUCUAGUGGCGCACGGGUGCGUACCGAGUGGGAACCUGCCCUUAGGUUCGGAAUAACUCCCCGAGAGGGGUGCUCAUAACGGUUAAUGUCUUCGGACCAAAGAUUUCUCGCUUUUGGAUGGGCCCGCGUUGGAUUAGCUAGUUGGUAGGGUACUAGCCUACCAAGGCGACGAUCCAUAGCUGGUCGGAGAGGAGGACCAGCCACACUUGCACUGAGACACGGCCCAGUCUCCUACGGGAGGGAGCAGUGGGGAGUAUUAGGCAAGGAGGCAAAACCUGGUCCAGCAGUGCCGGGGAAGAGAGGAAGGCCUUAGUGUUGUAAAGCUCUUUUACCCGAGAUGAUAAUGACAGUACCGGGAGAAUAAGCACCGGCUAACUCCGUG